GGUCAGUGAUGAUAAGUAAAAGGUCUGAUGGCACUUUAUUAAAUGCCCACAUGUCUGCUCACUCCCAGGAGAUCCUACGUUUCCCAUCCUGCUCAAGGUGUGCUGUGAUGGUUAGUGGAGUUCCUGACAGUAACUUAUGCCACUGAUUUAGUUGACACUCUUGCAGAGGAAUGUGGAGUGUCUUUUUAAAGGGCAUCUCACAGAACUGGUAGCCCAGGAGCUUUGGGUAUUGUGGGCAUUUAUUUCUGGUGCAUGACUGCAAGUUUUCAAGCUGAGACC
Non-coding RNA from Pristis pectinata (smalltooth sawfish), 279 nucleotides. RefSeq annotates it as small Cajal body-specific RNA 6. NCBI's taxonomy places the organism in Eukaryota, Metazoa, Chordata, Chondrichthyes, Rhinopristiformes, Pristidae. The transcript has a single exon. The record is from RefSeq and is a predicted model, not a curated record.